CCUACGGGUGGCAGCAGUGGGGAAUAUUGCACAAUGGGCGAAAGCCUGACGCAGCAACGCCGCGUGAGCGAUGAAGGCUUUCGGGUCGUAAAGUUCUGUCCUCAAGGAAGAUAAUGACGGUACUUGAGGAGGAAGCACCGGCUAACUCCGUGCCAGCAGCCGCGGUAAUACGUAGGGGGCUAGCGUUAUCAGGAAUUACUGGGCGUAAAGGGUGCGUAGGUGGUUUCUUAAGUCAGAGGUGAAAGGCUACGGCUCAACCGUAUUAAGCAUGUGAAACUGGGGAACUUGAGUGCAGGAGAGGAGAGUGGAAUUCCUAGUGUAGCGGUGAAAUGCGUAGAUAGUAGGAGGAACACCAGUGGCGAAGGCGGUUCUCUGGACUGUAACUGACGCUGAGGCACGAAAGCGUGGGGAGCAAACAGGAUUAGAUACCCGGGUAGUC
This 439-nucleotide ribosomal RNA is filed under the name uncultured bacterium. RNAcentral's name for it is "partial 16S ribosomal RNA". It matches the Rfam family "Bacterial small subunit ribosomal RNA", at positions 338 to 795 of the family's 1533-position model. The record is from RNAcentral.